This 253-nucleotide ribosomal RNA is filed under the name uncultured bacterium. RNAcentral describes it as "partial 16S ribosomal RNA". It matches the Rfam family "Bacterial small subunit ribosomal RNA", at positions 524 to 776 of the family's 1533-position model. The record is from RNAcentral.
CACGUAGGGCGCGAGCGUUGUCCGGAAUUAUUGGGCGUAAAGAGCUCGUAGGCGGCCUGUUGCGUCCGCUGUGAAAGCCCGGGGCUUAACCCCGGGUCGGCAGUGGAUACGGGCAGGCUAGAGGUAGGUAGGGGAGAAUGGAAUUCCCGGUGUAGCGGUGAAAUGCGCAGAUAUCAGGAGGAACACCAGUGGCGAAGGCGGUGGUCUGGGCCGAUACUGACGCUGAGGUGCGAAAGCGUGGGGAGCAAACAGG